AGUGAACGCUGGCGGUAGGCCUAACACAUGCAAGUCGAACGGCAGCACAGUAAGAGCUUGCUCUUACGGGUGGCGAGUGGCGGACGGGUGAGGAAUACAUCGGAAUCUACUUUUUCGUGGGGGAUAACGUAGGGAAACUUACGCUAAUACCGCAUACGACCUACGGGUGAAAUCAGGGGAUCUUCGGACCUUGCGCGAUUGAAUUAGCCGAUGUCGGAUUAGCUAGUUGGCGGGGUAAAGGCCCACCAAGGCGACGAUCCGUAGCUGAUCUGAGAGGAUGAUCAGCCACACUGGAACUGAGACACGGUCCAGACUCCUACGGGAGGCAGCAGUGGGGAAUAUUGGACAAUGGGCGCAAGCCUGAUCCAGCCAUACCGCGUGGGUGAAGAAGGCCUUCGGGUUGUAAAGCCCUUUUGUUGGGAAAGAAAAGCAGCAGGUUAAUACCCCGCUGUUCUGACGGUACCCAAAGAAUAAGCACCGGCUAACUUCGUG
RNAcentral lists this ribosomal RNA (492 nucleotides) under uncultured bacterium. RNAcentral describes it as "partial 16S ribosomal RNA". It matches the Rfam family "Bacterial small subunit ribosomal RNA", at positions 29 to 507 of the family's 1533-position model. The record is from RNAcentral.